GAUGAACGCUGGCGGCGUGCCUAAUACAUGCAAGUCGAGCGAACAGACGAGGAGCUUGCUCCUUCGACGUUAGCGGCGGACGGGUGAGUAACACGUAGGUAACCUACCUAUAAGACUGGGAUAACUUCGGGAAACCGGAGCUAAUACCGGAUAAUAUUUCGAACCGCAUGGUUCGAUAGUGAAAGAUGGCUUUGCUAUCACUUAUAGAUGGACCUGCGCCGUAUUAGCUAGUUGGUAAGGUAACGGCUUACCAAGGCAACGAUACGUAGCCGACCUGAGAGGGUGAUCGGCCACACUGGAACUGAGACACGGUCCAGACUCCUACGGGAGGCAGCAGUAGGGAAUCUUCCGCUAUGGGCGAAAGCCUGACGGAGCAACGCCGCGUGAGUGAUGAAGGUCUGCGGAUCGUAAAACUCUGUUAUUAGGGAAGAACAAACGUGUAGUAACUGUGCACGUCUUGACGGUACCUAAUCAGAAAGCCACGGCUAACUACGUG
RNAcentral lists this ribosomal RNA (496 nucleotides) under uncultured bacterium. RNAcentral's name for it is "partial 16S ribosomal RNA". It matches the Rfam family "Bacterial small subunit ribosomal RNA", at positions 28 to 507 of the family's 1533-position model. The record is from RNAcentral.